UAGAGUUUGAUCCUGGCUCAGGAUGAACGCUGACAGAAUAGCUUAACACAUGCAAGUCAACUUGAAUUGGGUUUUAACUUAGAUUUGGGUGGCGGACGGGUGAGUAACGCGUAAAGAACUUGCCUCACGGCUAGGGACAACAUUUAGAAAUGAACGCUAAUACCUAAUAUUAUGAUAAUAGGGCAUCCUAUAAUUAUGAAAAGCUAUAUGCGCUGUGAGAGAGCUUUGCGUCCCAUUAGCUAGUUGGAGAGGUAACGGCUCACCAAGGCGAUGAUGGGUAGCCGGCCUGAGAGGGUGAUCGGCCACAAGGGGACUGAGACACGGCCCUUACUCCUACGGGAGGCAGCAGUGGGGAAUAUUGGACAAUGGACCGAGAGUCUGAUCCAGCAAUUCCGUGUGCACGAUGAAGUUUUUCGGAAUGUAAAGUGCUUUCAGUUGGGAAGAAAGAAAUGACGGUACCAACAGAAGAAGUGACGGCUAAAUACGUG
Molecule: ribosomal RNA, 488 nt
Filed under: uncultured Fusobacterium sp.
Lineage: Bacteria; Fusobacteriati; Fusobacteriota; Fusobacteriia; Fusobacteriales; Fusobacteriaceae
Description: bacterial SSU rRNA
Rfam family: Bacterial small subunit ribosomal RNA
Source: RNAcentral